This 253-nucleotide ribosomal RNA is filed under the name uncultured bacterium. Its description in RNAcentral is "partial 16S ribosomal RNA". It matches the Rfam family "Bacterial small subunit ribosomal RNA", at positions 524 to 776 of the family's 1533-position model. The record is from RNAcentral.
GACGGAGGAUGCAAGUGUUAUCCGGAAUCACUGGGCGUAAAGCGUCUGUAGGUGGUUUAAUAAGUCAACUGUUAAAUCUUGAGGCUCAACCUCAAAAUCGCAGUCGAAACUAUUAGGCUAGAGUAUAGUAGGGGUAAAGGGAAUUUCCAGUGGAGCGGUGGAAUGCGUAGAGAUUGGAAAGAACACCGAUGGCGAAGGCACUUUACUGGGCUAUUACUAACACUCAGAGACGAAAGCUAGGGUAGCAAAUGGG